Long non-coding RNA from Dromaius novaehollandiae (emu), 1597 nucleotides. RefSeq lists it as uncharacterized. NCBI's taxonomy places the organism in Eukaryota, Metazoa, Chordata, Aves, Casuariiformes, Dromaiidae. The record is from RefSeq and is a predicted model, not a curated record. The transcript is spliced from 3 exons.
CCGAAGUUCAACAAAGUCAACCUGACCUGAAUAAGAAGCGAUUUCCUAGCUGUGAGAUUAAUUAAACAUGGGAGCACUUUACCGUGGAAGGCUGCAGAUUACAGUCAUUUGGACUCUUCAGGCUAGCAUUCAGAAAAAAAGAAUAAUUUCCCUUACUGAUACUGGGAUUACUUCAAGACAUGGUGAAAGCUCUGUGCUCCCCGUGUGUGAGGAUCCUGUGACUCUAGAGCUUUCCUCCAUGUUGGACUCCUGCACAGGCGAGAAGGUGGGCACUACUGUGGGAAGCAGUUGCUGAGGGAACUGUAGUUCAUACCAUGGAAGGAUCUAAGUCCGUGGCUAAAAGAAGUGCCACUAAAAAAGAAAAAAACCCUCUUCCUUCCAAGAACUAGGUGAAUAGGAGUGCCUGACUUACAGAAAACAAAAAAGGCUUGAAUGCACAUGAGCAGCAAUGUAAACACUGGGCAGCAGUUUUAUACCCAUGCCAGUUACUUUAUUUUGGACAAGCAUUUUUCGUACCACAGGUUGUUGUAAAGCUCAAGGGAAAGAAGAGACAGUUUCCUGAGAAAGAAAUUAGUUUUGUAUGAGGAGUCCUGGCUUUCCCAAAGGGUAAAACUAUGGACAUAGCCCUGGAAGGUCAGACUGGGAAAUACAAGGAGUGGUGGAUGAAGGCUCUCCCAAAAGCUUUCUAUAUGACUUUGGAGAGAAUAUCUGUGCCCUGAAGCAGGACUGAAUGGAAAAUUUAAUUUUAACUCUGUGUAUGAAUCUCUGAAAGUUGAACAGGGCCUCAAGGCCCAAGGUUAAUGGUGUCCUGCUGAGAGAGCCCUAUCUAAAUUAGAGCCUUCAAACUUCACCUCAGUUUUCUUCAUCCAUGAUGUGACUUUGAAAGACAGAAACCCAGGAGAAGUCAAGAUGAGGCCCUCCCUUUAAAGUGGCCAGUGGAGAGGUGUUCAACGAAUGAGCUCCUAGAAUGCAUAUUUCAAAUUCUGAUAACAAAAUUUCACCUUUUCCUUUAGCUUUUAAGAAAAAGUUGGACUUCAGUCAGUUCCCACAUUUUAGUGUUUUUCAUAGUCAUUCCAGCCUGUCUACAUACCUAUUGGCACUGUGCCAAUGAACAUUUUCUCUGUUGUGCCAGCAACUAUGAUUUCUUCCCAUCAGGUGAUGCAUAAAGACAUAAUUAGUGAAAGUCUGGGUAUUAAUUCCACUAAAAAAGUGGAGAAUCAUCUUGAGAGUAGUUGUAGAGCAGAAUGUAUUUUCCCUCUCGCACAUAUUCAAGAAGUGAAAGUGGAACUAAAAGACAGAAUGAAACAUUUUCAGAUAGGCCUGUCCAUCUCACAAGGGUAUGUGUAGGAAGAAACUGAACUAUGAAAGUGGCUGGGUUUUAAGAACCUUGCGUUGAAGCUGGAAAUACAGGAAACUGAUAUAGGCAUAGAAAUAAUAUGCAACUAUGAAUGAAAAGUAAAAGUGUUGAGACUUUUGUCAAGGUACCAUUAAUUAAGGAUUCCUACUUUUCCAAAUUAUCAGUCUGGUUUCUUCUGUGGAACAAUUACUGGAAACAGAUAUCUGUUCUUUCUGAAAAAUAUCUUGUAGCAAGAUGCUA